ACGCACGCUGGCGGCGUGCUUCACACAUGCCAGUCGAACGGAAAGGCCCUGCUUUUGUGGGGUGCUCGAGUGGCGAACGGGUAAGUAACACGUGAGUAACCUGCCCUUGACUUUGGGAUAACUUCAGGAAACUGGGGCUAAUACCGGAUAGGAGCUCCUGCUGCAUGGUGGGGGUUGGAAAGUUUCGGCGGUUGGGGAUGGACUCGCGGCUUAUCAGCUUGUUGGUGGGGUAGUGGCUUACCAAGGCUUUGACGGGUAGCCGGCCUGAGAGGGUGACCGGCCACAUUGGGACUGAGAUACGGCCCAGACUCCUACGGGAGGCAGCAGUGGGGAAUAUUGCACAAUGGGCGGAAGCCUGAUGCAGCAACGCCGCGUGCGGGAUGACGGCCUUCGGGUUGUAAACCGCUUUCGCCUGUGACGAAGCGUGAGUGACGGUAAUGGGUAAAGAAGCACCGGCUAACUACGUG
RNAcentral lists this ribosomal RNA (467 nucleotides) under uncultured bacterium. RNAcentral's name for it is "partial 16S ribosomal RNA". It matches the Rfam family "Bacterial small subunit ribosomal RNA", at positions 29 to 507 of the family's 1533-position model. The record is from RNAcentral.